UCCGCGGUGGCGCAAUGGUAGCGCGACGCCCUGUUAAGGCGUUUGUUGUAGGUUCGAAUCCUACCCGCGGAG
RNAcentral lists this transfer RNA (72 nucleotides) under Candidatus Nealsonbacteria bacterium CG_4_8_14_3_um_filter_34_13. RNAcentral describes it as "tRNA-Asn". It matches the Rfam family "tRNA". From Rfam's summary of the family: Transfer RNA (tRNA) molecules are approximately 80 nucleotides in length. Lineage: Bacteria; Candidatus Nealsoniibacteriota. The record is from RNAcentral.